This 301-nucleotide ribosomal RNA is filed under the name uncultured bacterium. RNAcentral describes it as "partial 16S ribosomal RNA". It matches the Rfam family "Bacterial small subunit ribosomal RNA", at positions 509 to 807 of the family's 1533-position model. The record is from RNAcentral.
CAGCCGCCGCGGGAAUACGUAGGUGGCAAGCGUUGUCCGGAAUUAUUGGGCGUAAAGGGCUCGCAGGCGGUUUCUUAAGUCUGAUGUGAAAGCCCCCGGCUCAACCGGGGAGGGUCAUUGGAAACUGGGAAACUUGAGUGCAGAAGAGGAGAGUGGAAUUCCACGUGUAGCGGUGAAAUGCGUAGAGAUGUGGAGGAACACCAGUGGCGAAGGCGACUCUCUGGUCUGUAACUGACGCUGAGGAGCGAAAGCGUGGGGAGCGAACAGGAUUAGAUACCCGUGUAGUCCCUGUCUCUUAUAC